GAAAUGCGAUAAGUAAUGUGAAUUGCAGAAUUCAGUGAAUCAUCGAAUCUUUGAACGCACAUUGCGCCCGCCAGUAUUCUGGCGGGCAUGCCUGUCCGAGCGUCAUUUCAACCAUCAAGCCCCCGGCUUGUGUUGGGGACCUGCGGCUGCCCGCAGGCCCUGAAAAACAGUGGCGGGCUCGCUGUCACACCGAGCGUAGUAGCAUACAUUCUCGCUCAGGGCGUGCUGCGGGUUCCGGCCGUUAAACGACCUUCAUAACCCAAGGUUGACCUCGGAUCAGGUAGGAAGACCCGCUGAACUUAAGC
This 305-nucleotide unclassified non-coding RNA is filed under the name plant metagenome. RNAcentral's name for it is "partial contains 5.8S ribosomal RNA, internal transcribed spacer 2, and large subunit ribosomal RNA". The stretch from base 1 to 105 matches the Rfam family "5.8S ribosomal RNA", at positions 50 to 154 of the family's 154-position model. The record is from RNAcentral.